Molecule: ribosomal RNA, 726 nt
Filed under: uncultured bacterium
Lineage: Bacteria
Description: bacterial SSU rRNA
Rfam family: Bacterial small subunit ribosomal RNA
Source: RNAcentral
GCGGCAGGCCUAACACAUGCAAGUCGAGCGGUAGAGAGAAGCUUGCUUCUCUUGAGAGCGGCGGACGGGUGAGUAAUGCCUAGGAAUCUGCCUGGUAGUGGGGGAUAACGUUCGGAAACGGACGCUAAUACCGCAUACAUCCUACGGGAGAAAGCAGGGGACCUUCGGGCCUUGCGCUAUCAGAUGAGCCUAGGUCGGAUUAGCUAGUUGGUGAGGUAAUGGCUCACCAAGGCGACGAUCCGUAACUGGUCUGAGAGGAUGAUCAGUCACACUGGAACUGAGACACGGUCCAGACUCCUACGGGAGGCAGCAGUGGGGAAUAUUGGACAAUGGGCGAAAGCCUGAUCCAGCCAUGCCGCGUGUGUGAAGAAGGUCUUCGGAUUGUAAAGCACUUUAAGUUGGGAGGAAGGGUGUAGAUUAAUACUCUGCAAUUUUGACGUUACCGACAGAAUAAGCACCGGCUAACUCUGUGCCAGCAGCCGCGGUAAUACAGAGGGUGCAAGCGUUAAUCGGAAUUACUGGGCGUAAAGCGCGCGUAGGUGGUUUGUUAAGUUGGAUGUGAAAUCCCCGGGCUCAACCUGGGAACUGCAUUCAAAACUGACUGACUAGAGUAUGGUAGAGGGUGGUGGAAUUUCCUGUGUAGCGGUGAAAUGCGUAGAUAUAGGAAGGAACACCAGUGGCGAAGGCGACCACCUGGACUAAUACUGACACUGAGGUGCGAAAGCG